Molecule: ribosomal RNA, 497 nt
Filed under: uncultured bacterium
Lineage: Bacteria
Description: partial 16S ribosomal RNA
Rfam family: Bacterial small subunit ribosomal RNA
Source: RNAcentral
GAUGAACGCUGGCGGCGUGCCUAAUACAUGCAAGUCGAGCGAACAGAUGAGGAGCUUGCUCCUCUGACGUUAGCGGCGGACGGGUGAGUAACACGUGGAUAACCCACCUAUAAGACUGGGAUAACUUCGGGAAACCGGAGCUAAUACCGGAUAAUAUAUUGAACCGCAUGGUUCAAUAGUGAAAGACGGUUUUGCUGUCACUUAUAGAUGGAUCCGCGCCGCAUUAGCUAGUUGGUAAGGUAACGGCUUACCAAGGCAACGAUGCGUAGCCGACCUGAGAGGGUGAUCGGCCACACUGGAACUGAGACACGGUCCAGACUCCUACGGGAGGCAGCAGUAGGGAAUCUUCCGCAAUGGGCGAGAGCCUGACGGAGCAACGCCGCGUGAGUGAUGAAGGUCUUCGGAUCGUAAAACUCUGUUAUUAGGGAAGAACAAAUGUGUAAGUAACUAUGCACGUCUUGACGGUACCUAAUCAGAAAGCCACGGCUAACUACGUG